GACGAACGCUGGCGGCGUGCUUAACACAUGCAAGUCGAACGGAAAGGCCCUGCUUUUGUGGGGUGCUCGAGUGGUGAACGGGUGAGUAACACGUGAGUAACCUGCCCUUGACUUUGGGAUAACUUCAGGAAACUGGGGCUAAUACCGGAUAGGAGCUCCUGCUGCAUGGUGGGGGUUGGAAAGUUUCGGCGGUUGGGGAUGGACUCGCGGCUUAUCAGCUUGUUGGUGGGGUAGUGGCUUACCAAGGCUUUGACGGGUAGCCGGCCUGGGAGGGUGACCGGCCACAUUGGGACUGAGAUACGGCCCAGACUCCUACGGGAGGCAGCAGUGGGGAAUAUUGCACAAUGGGCGGAAGCCUGAUGCAGCAACGCCGCGUGCGGGAUGACGGCCUUCGGGUUGUAAACCGCUUUCGCCUGUGACGAAGCGUGAGUGACGGUAAUGGGUAAAGAAGCACCGGCUAACUACGUG
This 468-nucleotide ribosomal RNA is filed under the name uncultured bacterium. RNAcentral's name for it is "partial 16S ribosomal RNA". It matches the Rfam family "Bacterial small subunit ribosomal RNA", at positions 28 to 507 of the family's 1533-position model. The record is from RNAcentral.